Molecule: ribosomal RNA, 457 nt
Filed under: uncultured Pseudomonas sp.
Lineage: Bacteria; Pseudomonadati; Pseudomonadota; Gammaproteobacteria; Pseudomonadales; Pseudomonadaceae
Description: bacterial SSU rRNA
Rfam family: Bacterial small subunit ribosomal RNA
Source: RNAcentral
ACAAGCGGUGGAGCAUGUGGUUAAUUCGAAGCAACGCGAAGAACCUUACCAGGCCUUGACAUGCAGAGAACUUUCCAGAGAUGGAUUGGUGCCUUCGGGAACUCUGACACAGGUGCUGCAUGGCUGUCGUCAGCUCGUGUCGUGAGAUCGUUGGGUUAAGUCCCGUAACGAGCGCAACCCUUGUCCUUAGUUACCAGCACGUUAUGGUGGGCACUCUAAGGAGACUGCCGGUGACAAACCGGAGGAAGUGGGGAUGACGUCAAGUCAUCAUGGCCCUUACGGCCUGGGCUACACACGUGCUACAAUGGUCGGUACAAAGGGUUGCCAAGCCGCGAGGUGGAGCUAAUCCCAUAAAACCGAUCGUAGUCCGGAUCGCAGUCUGCAACUCGACUGCGUGAAGUCGGAAUCGCUAGUAAUCGUGAAUCAGAAUGUCACGGUGAAUACGUUCCCGGGCCUU